This 1035-nucleotide ribosomal RNA is filed under the name Micrococcus sp. Its description in RNAcentral is "bacterial SSU rRNA". It matches the Rfam family "Bacterial small subunit ribosomal RNA", at positions 101 to 1139 of the family's 1533-position model. Lineage: Bacteria; Bacillati; Actinomycetota; Actinomycetes; Micrococcales; Micrococcaceae. The record is from RNAcentral.
AACGGGUGAGUAACACGUGAGUAACCUGCCCUUGACUCUGGGAUAAGCCUGGGAAACUGGGUCUAAUACCGGAUAGGAACGUCCACCGCAUGGUGGGUGUUGGAAAGAUUUAUCGGUCAUGGAUGGACUCGCGGCCUAUCAGCUUGUUGGUGAGGUAAUGGCUCACCAAGGCGACGACGGGUAGCCGGCCUGAGAGGGUGACCGGCCACACUGGGACUGAGACACGGCCCAGACUCCUACGGGAGGCAGCAGUGGGGAAUAUUGCACAAUGGGCGAAAGCCUGAUGCAGCGACGCCGCGUGAGGGAUGACGGCCUUCGGGUUGUAAACCUCUUUCAGUAGGGAAGAAGCGAAAGUGACGGUACCUGCAGAAGAAGCACCGGCUAACUACGUGCCAGCAGCCGCGGUAAUACGUAGGGUGCGAGCGUUAUCCGGAAUUAUUGGGCGUAAAGAGCUCGUAGGCGGUUUGUCGCGUCUGUCGUGAAAGUCCGGGGCUUAACCCCGGAUCUGCGGUGGGUACGGGCAGACUAGAGUGCAGUAGGGGAGACUGGAAUUCCUGGUGUAGCGGUGGAAUGCGCAGAUAUCAGGAGGAACACCGAUGGCGAAGGCAGGUCUCUGGGCUGUAACUGACGCUGAGGAGCGAAAGCAUGGGGAGCGAACAGGAUUAGAUACCCUGGUAGUCCAUGCCGUAAACGUUGGGCACUAGGUGUGGGGACCAUUCCACGGUUUCCGCGCCGCAGCUAACGCAUUAAGUGCCCCGCCUGGGGAGUACGGCCGCAAGGCUAAAACUCAAAGGAAUUGACGGGGGCCCGCACAAGCGGCGGAGCAUGCGGAUUAAUUCGAUGCAACGCGAAGAACCUUACCAAGGCUUGACAUGUUCUCGAUCGCCGUAGAGAUACGGUUUCCCCUUUGGGGGCGGGAUCACAGGUGGGUGCAUGGGUUGUCGUCCGCCUCGUGUCCUGAAAAUGUUGGGGUUAAGUCCCGCAACGAGCGCAACCCUUCGUUCCAUGUUGCCAGCCACGUAAUGGGGGGGGACU